RNAcentral lists this ribosomal RNA (136 nucleotides) under uncultured eukaryote. RNAcentral describes it as "partial 18S ribosomal RNA". It matches the Rfam family "Eukaryotic small subunit ribosomal RNA", at positions 1299 to 1458 of the family's 1831-position model. The record is from RNAcentral.
UGGUGGAGUGAUUUGUCUGCUUAAUCGCGAUAACGAACGAGACCUCGGCCCUUAAAUAGCCCGGUCCGCAUUUGCGGGCCGCUGGCUUCUUAGGGGGACUAUCGGCUCAAGCCGAUGGAAGUGCGCGGCAAUAACA